GCCGCUAUUCGUGCUAGGGCUGCAUAAUCACUUGUCUUUUAAAUGAAGACUGGAACAAAAGAUUUAACAUUUUAGCUUAUUUACCUAGUUUAAAAAAUUAAAUCUUUCCUAAAUGUAAAAAGACAUUUAUAUAUAAGAAAGACGAUAAGACCCUAUUGAACUUAACUGUAGUUAAACUGGGGCAGUAAAUUAAUUAUUAUUUUAAUAAAAAUAUAAACGCUAUUAUCUAAUAAUAUUAAAUAAUUCAGUUACCAUAGGGAUAACAGCGUAAUAGAAUUUUAAAGAUCUUAUAUUAAAAUCAGAUUACGACCUCGAUGUUGAAUUAAUAUGCUAAUUAAGGCAAAACUUAAUAAAGCAAGUCUGUUCGACUUUUAAAAAAUUACAUGAUUUGAGUUCAGACCGGUGUAAGCCAGGUCGGUUUCUAUCUUCUAAAUAAUUUUUUACAGUACGAAAGGACCUAAAAAAAUAAUU
RNAcentral lists this ribosomal RNA (471 nucleotides) under Havaika cf. pubens MAA-2006. RNAcentral's name for it is "partial 16S ribosomal RNA". It matches the Rfam family "Bacterial large subunit ribosomal RNA", at positions 1930 to 2706 of the family's 2925-position model. The record is from RNAcentral. Lineage: Eukaryota; Metazoa; Arthropoda; Arachnida; Araneae; Salticidae.